AUUGCCAGCCGGAUCAUCGCGCCGAAGUGCCUCCAAGGCGACUCCGGUGAGGAAAGUCCGAACACCACAGGGCACCGUGCUUCCUAACAGGAAGGCACUGCUUCACGGCAGUGACGGCACGUGCAACAGAAAGCAAACCAGCCGAUGGUUCUCAUGAACACAGGCGAUGGGUGAAAUGGUGGGGUAAGAGCCCACCGGCGCUGCGGGUGACCGGAGCGGCCAGGCAAACCCCAUGGGGUGCAAAGUCAAGCAGCAUCGCUCCUGCAAAGGAUAUGGCGGCCCGUCAAAGUGCGAUGCGGGUAGACUGCUCGAGGCCGGUGGUGACACCGGUCCCAGAUAAAUGAUGAUCUCCCUGCGUUACGUCAGCGGCCGUGCGCGGGCAGACAGAAUUCGGCUUACAGGCUGGCAAUGCCG
This 414-nucleotide RNase P RNA is filed under the name Bacteroidetes bacterium CG12_big_fil_rev_8_21_14_0_65_60_17. RNAcentral's name for it is "RNase P RNA component class A". It matches the Rfam family "Bacterial RNase P class A". From Rfam's summary of the family: Ribonuclease P (RNase P) is a ubiquitous endoribonuclease, found in archaea, bacteria and eukarya as well as chloroplasts and mitochondria. Its best characterised activity is the generation of mature 5'-ends of tRNAs by cleaving the 5'-leader elements of precursor-tRNAs. Lineage: Bacteria; Pseudomonadati; Bacteroidota. The record is from RNAcentral.